RNAcentral lists this ribosomal RNA (229 nucleotides) under uncultured bacterium. RNAcentral describes it as "partial 16S ribosomal RNA". It matches the Rfam family "Bacterial small subunit ribosomal RNA", at positions 794 to 1025 of the family's 1533-position model. The record is from RNAcentral.
UCCACGCUGUAAACGAUGUGCACUAGAUGUGGUGGUAUCGACCCUACCGUGUCGUAGCUAACGCGUUAAGUGCACCGCCUGGGGAGUACUGCCGCAAGGCAGAAACUCAAAGGAAUUGACGGGGCCCGCACAAGCGGUGGAGCAUGUCAUUAAUACGAAGCAACGCGUAGAACCUUACCAGGGCUUGACAUGCAGCUGCAAAUCCCAUGAAAGUGGGACUCCUUCGAGG